CAAGGCCAUUCAAUGGAGUGAGCAGCAGGAGGUACUGAAAGAGAGAUACUGUUAGCACUGUUUCCACAUGCCCAAAGAGUGAUCUUUAUGCAGCUGAGACUACAAGGGAUAUCCCUUAAAAUAAAGGCCAGCUUAUUACCCAUCUUCUCCAACUCCUGUGGAACUAAAUAUCCUGAAGUUGAGAGAAGCUGCUGCACAAAGCGUCUUUAUAGCUCUCAGUGUGCCUUCUUUGCUGGCUCCAGCUGCCCCUACACUGUUUUUCCUCACUCUUUUCUUCAAUAUUUUUUCCAGUUGACUUAGUUACUACAGUACAUGGACCAGACUGAGGAAAAUACACUGAAGGUUGGAGCUGGCAGAGCAGGGAGAGCUGCGAGGGAAGUGCCUUUGCCAUCCAUGACAUCACCCGUGCGUUAAUUGGUGGCGUUCCCGCGGAUGGGAGGCACUGGCCGGUGUCCUUGGGCUCACUUCCGUGAUACAGAACAGAGACACUGCCUGUCUCCUGCCAGCCUCUUUCAUUGCCAGCCUUCUGGCAAAGCUUAGGACAUUUAUAAAAACAGUACAGUACUUUAUUUAGCCUCUAGUGAGAAAAAGUCACUUCGCAGCUCCAGUUUAGGCACAAGGCACUAACAAGGAGAUUAAAAAAAAUAUAUCCUUUACAUAAAAACAUUUCAAGCGAAUACAAGGAUCUGUAUAAAAUUCUACAAAUGUGGGAAUAACCUUUCACUUAUGAUCCCAUUUCUGGCCCCACUGUAUUUCUUCUUUGCAGGUUCAUAUAUCUCUAUAUCUCUAAUCCCUUGUUUGUAGAUUUGGUAUGUGCACACAGCCAGAGAUAUAUAUCCCUGAUUGCUGUUAAUCCUUUCAGUGUUUUUACAUUAUACAGCAUAUGUCCAGGGAAAGUUCUGUCUUGUGCUUUAAUGAUACUCCCUGAUCCUCCAGCAACACUCCUGAAACAGAAAAUCACACCAUCCUGUUUCCAUCCCAGAGAGUUCUCAGGCUGUGAAUUGGGUUUUACUGCACAUCACAGAAACAAAGAACCUCUGAAUAUUUUCAAAAGUUCAGUCUGAUGUGUUUGCAAACCUAGAAAAGAAAUGGAAAGUUGGUAUAGAGGCUGGAUGUGGAGGAAGGAAGUCAGCACACAAAGGCCCCACACUGCAUCUUUGGACUUGCCUGUGACCUCGCAGGGGUCAAAAUCCAUGGCUGGAGCUGGUCAAAAAUUUUUUUUCUGAGGCCUAUGAUAGAAUGUGUUUUUCUCAUGAAGUAAACUCUACCAGAGAAUAAAUAUAUUUGCUAUUUUGAGGGUGUUGAGGCUCUGGAACAGGUUGCCCAAAGAAGUUAUUAAUGCCCCACUCCUGGAACUGUUCAUGGCCAGGCUGGAUAGGGCUUGGAGCACCUGGAAGGUGUCUGUGCCCCAUGGCAGGAGAACUGGAAUGAAGUGAUCUCUCAGGUCCCUCCCAAUCCAAACCUUUCUAUGAUUCUAUGAUUCUAAUAUUAAUUGGUUUGGAUUUUAAGUGUAACUUCAGGAACGAGGUCUUUCUGCUACAGGGUUUUACUUUAGUUGCAAAAUCUGUCAGAUAUGUUUUACUUUGAAUUCCCAGUAUAUGUGCUUAACCUUCAUUGCACCUUGAGGUAAUUUAUCUGUAAAUGAACACUAAUCCAAAAACCUGAAGUCAUGUGGGAUACUUCUAAUAUUUUGAAGAUAAGUAAUACUAAGCCUAAAUCACAUUUAAAGAUGAUAUUAAUUGAAGUAGUAGAUCAGGACAAAUCAGUAAAACAGAACAGCCAGUCAAACUGGGUUAUAGUUGCAUUGCUUUCCACAAAAGCACAAAGUACCCAUGGGGUAUUAAUUACCAUAUUAAUUAAUAUUUUUUUACAGUUCUUUGCAGAAGAACUUUGCAGGUGUCUACACCAUGUGUUGUGAAGAACCAAGAAGUGGUCAGUCUUGCCUACUAAAAUAAACUGGGAAAGGAAACCAGAUGUCAGGAACCUCCUCUGCUGGGGGGGGGGUUGCUGGCUCACAGGAGAGCUCCUGGAGCUGGUUGAGCCCACAGCUCCAUGGUGAGACUUCCAGCCCCUAAACCCUGGCAGUUCUGCAGGGGAUUAGGAUAACUCUGUGCUCCCAGGUCUUCCUGUCAGAACUGCAGCAUCAUGAAAGGUUUACUGGGAUAGAAAGAGAAGACAGGAAAGGGUUGGAGGGAGGAGAGGGGGGACUCAUCAUCCUUGAUGUAGAUAUUGAACAGCUGGACUUCAAAGACUGUGUUAGUCACCCGAGGCUCCAUGUAAAGUCAGUGGAGUGGAAAAGGAACUCCAGAUACUUGUCUCAGGACAGGAAAUGCCCGAUUCCCUGCUGCCUAUAGGACACAUGUAGGUACCUGGCUAGAGCUAAAGUUAGCUGAGGUGACCUUGCAUGGCUUAUUAGUUAUGACAGUCUCCUGGAAGGAGAGAUCCUGAGUUCUGGCCUCUGCUUCAGGGACUUCUGAUGGAGUUUGUGCAGAUUAAAGGUCACACGGACACCAGCAUUAGGGAAUGCAGAGUGUCCCUUCUUCCUCCAGUUAAGUGCAUUAUCCCAGGGGCUGAGUGCAUUAUCCCAGGGGCUGAGGUAUGCUGAGGAAAGUGGGAGAUGCAUGUUUGAAUGUCCUUUUACAGAAGAAGGAACUUGGUCCAUGUGCUGCUUCCAGAAGAGUGCUUUGACCAUUAAGCAUCUGAAAGUGGAAACCACGUCCUGCACAGCCCCUGCUCUGUGAGGCAGCAGGGCUGCCAUUACCUUCUUGGGGAGAAAGACCUGCCAGGAGGUCUUGCAGCAGCCUGGACAGACUGGUUGUUUCAGGAGGUUUAGGCUGAAGAGCAACUUAAGAGCUCUGAUGGACUUGGAAGUGAGCUGAGUGCUGAACUUUCAGACUUGUCAUGCCUGAGGCUCUACCUAGGGAGGAGCAGGAGACGUCACAGUUAAAAAGACUCUCCACACCUGACAGCUGGGCACAGCAAACCUGAAUCUCUCCCAGGGGUAUCAAACCCAGCUCCUGUUGUCUUCCCCUGGGUUUCUGGCAGCCCUUGGAUGACCCAUGGUGGAUCACAGGGGUGAGGCACCAGCUGAAGGGCUCUGGGUGACAGCUGCUCCAGGACACUGCUGUUUUUCCCAAACCUUGAAGCACACCCCAGUAAAAGCCUUGCAGGCAGAAGGCUGUGCUGCAGACCAGUGGGAGGGAGAGCAGGAGAAGGAACGACACAACACAUUACAGCCAGGGAAAAGGAUUCUGCAUCAGGGAUUACGUAACUUUUGACAUGUCCUACAUAUCACAAUCCAGUACCAGGGAGCUCACGCUGUACCCUGCCACGUUAGCAGGGCUCACUUUAGACAGCCACUGUUAAAUGACAUUCCUGUCCUGUCAGAGCUUCUCCAAUUUCAUGUCUACCACGUCCUUCUGGGGCAGCUCCUCAGAGCCCAUGUGCUGCGUGGCACCAGGCUGGAGCUGUACGCUGCACGUGCCUGUGCCCGGCCAGUGCCAGGGGAAGCUGCUCUUCUCUCCUGUUUCAGCUCCCUGCAGGAGGACAGAGGCUCAUGGACGAGCCCUUCACUCCACUGCAGGCCAGCACCCAACAGGACGUGGUUUGCAUUUAACUGCACCUCAGGAGUAGGAAUCCUCGUUUGGGAAGCAAAAUCCUUUGGCACUGUUACCAGACCAAACCCAUCCCUGCUGGCUUUACGGCCCCUGAUGGCUUUUCCACAUUUCACAUGGGACUGAGCUCUCAAAUGCAUUUUACAAACUUGACCAACUCCCUCCAAUAUCUGCUGAUGUUCGUUUUCCCACUGAUAUUUUGCUUAUUCCAAAUUAACUCCACACCUUGAGAUUUUUGUUUUCAUUAGAUUUUUUUUUUACAGCAGAGAAAAUGGGAAAGUGAAAGAGCAUCACAUGUACAGCCUGGGAAGAGCACAAAGACAGCCAGGCAGCCAUUGCAGGGGUUUGGCACCUCGUUCAGGAAUGAGCACAUGCAGGUAGAAUGUUAUUCUGCUGCUCCUGCUGAGCACUUAGCAGUUCAGUCUCUGCUGAAUCCCAAAGUCGAGCAAAAAGCAGCUGGUUAAGGUGGAAUUUGAAAAUCAGUCAUAAGAUAAACAGGUUGCAACAUUAAGCACUCUCCAAGGGAAAAGCAGUGUGCAGCAUAUGUUCUUACUUUGGAAGAUAUUUAAAAAAAAAAAAAA
Molecule: long non-coding RNA, 4195 nt
Organism: Taeniopygia guttata (zebra finch)
Lineage: Eukaryota; Metazoa; Chordata; Aves; Passeriformes; Estrildidae
Source: Ensembl